RNAcentral lists this ribosomal RNA (253 nucleotides) under uncultured bacterium. RNAcentral's name for it is "partial 16S ribosomal RNA". It matches the Rfam family "Bacterial small subunit ribosomal RNA", at positions 524 to 776 of the family's 1533-position model. The record is from RNAcentral.
UACGUAGGGUGCGAGCGUUAAUCGGAAUUACUGGGCGUAAAGUGUGCGCAGGCGGCCGGGCAAGUCGAGUGUGAAAGCCCCGAGCUUAACUUGGGAAUUGCGCUCGAAACUACGUGGCUGGAGUGUGGCAGAGGAAGGUGGAAUUCCAGGUGUAGCGGUGAAAUGCGUAGAGAUCUGGAGGAACACCGAUGGCGAAGGCAGCCUUCUGGGCCAACACUGACGCUCAUGCACGAAAGCGUGGGGAGCAAACAGG